Molecule: long non-coding RNA, 200 nt
Filed under: Ictidomys tridecemlineatus (thirteen-lined ground squirrel)
Lineage: Eukaryota; Metazoa; Chordata; Mammalia; Rodentia; Sciuridae
Description: lncRNA (ENSSTOG00000030727.1)
Source: RNAcentral
AUGAACAAAACUGGAGAUGAUUUUUGUAUUCACGGGUCCUUCUGGAAUAAGUAAAAGUUCUCAUGUGAUCCAGACCACUGAGGUAGAGACAGACCUGUGCCUGUCUAAGUGAAGAAGAAAGGGGAUGGAGGUGGGAAAUUGGCACCUUCUACCUGGGGUGGAAAGAAGAAAAGGACACUUCACAGAAGCAGAGAUGGUUG